This 185-nucleotide small RNA is filed under the name Paenibacillus antarcticus. RNAcentral describes it as "c-di-AMP sequence". It matches the Rfam family "c-di-AMP riboswitch aptamer (ydaO/yuaA leader)". From Rfam's summary of the family: This family represents a conserved RNA structure found upstream of the ydaO and yuaA genes in Bacillus subtilis and related genes in other bacteria. The ydaO/yuaA element is thought to act as a genetic "off" switch for the ydaO and yuaA genes in its native state. The record is from Rfam by way of RNAcentral. Lineage: Bacteria; Bacillati; Bacillota; Bacilli; Caryophanales; Paenibacillaceae.
AUGUCUUGAACGCUGAAUUCAGUGUGAUUUCUGAAACGGGGGAACCAAUCGGAUAUGUCUGCUGCGUAAACGCCGGACGUAUCCAUGGGGUGAAUUUCUGAAGUGCUGUACCAGUAUUUCAGAAUAGGGCGACUUCCUCGCCCGAAUCCGACAGCUAACCUCGUAAGCGUGCAGGGAGAGGCAGC